RNAcentral lists this ribosomal RNA (543 nucleotides) under Triticum aestivum (bread wheat). RNAcentral describes it as "partial small subunit ribosomal RNA". The record is from RNAcentral. Lineage: Eukaryota; Viridiplantae; Streptophyta; Magnoliopsida; Poales; Poaceae.
AUGCACGAAGGGCACUCGGGGGGAGGCGGUGGGGGGCUACGGAACCCCUGCCUGACGAUGCACCAGCCGUGGGCGUCGCUGCUAGUGCACGGCACCAAGCGCGUGGAGGGCCGCUCCUGGCCGUCGCCGGUCAUCGGCCGCCUCUGGAUCCACGCCGCCUCCAAGGUGCCCGACCCCAACACCGUCGCCGCCAUGGAGGACUUCUACCGUGAGAUCUACGCCAUCAACGGGGUCCACCACAUCGACUUCCCCCAGAACUACCCCGUCUCCUGCCUCCUCGGUCCAUAUCCAUCGUCUUCCUUGCUAGUUACCGCUGCCGCCAUUGUUUCUCCCAGCUUGCUUACGCCAUUGCCGAUUAUUGCUCAGGAUGCGUCGAGGUGGUCGGCUGCGUCAGCAACUGGCUUACCAGUACGCCGCAAAGGGGGCAUGCCUUGCCCUGGUAGCAAGGAGGGAGUGGAGCCUGUGGCAGGUCGCCGACCGCGCCUUCGAGCUCGGCAUGCCAAAUGUGAUCAUUCUCCCCGGGGAUGUCACAGACCCCAAUGA